UGGGGAAUAUUGCACAAUGGAGGGCACUCUGAUGCAGCGACGCCGCGUGAACGAAGAAGGCUUUCGCGUCGUAAAGUUCUUUUAUAUGGGAAGAUAAUGACGGUACCAUAAGAAGAAGCCUCGGCUAACUACGUGCCAGCAGCCGCGGUAAUACGUAGGGGGCUAGCGUUGUCCGGAAUCACUGGGCGUAAAGGGUUCGCAGGCGGAAAUGCAAGUCAGGUGUAAAAGGCAGUAGCUUAACUACUGUAAGCAUUUGAAACUGCAUAUCUUGAGAAGAGUAGAGGUAAGUGGAAUUUUUAGUGUAGCGGUGAAAUGCGUAGAUAUUAAAAAGAAUACCGGUGGCGAAGGCGACUUACUGGGCUCAUUCUGACGCUGAGGAACGAAAGCGUGGGUAGCAAACAGG
This 403-nucleotide ribosomal RNA is filed under the name bacterium. RNAcentral describes it as "partial 16S ribosomal RNA". It matches the Rfam family "Bacterial small subunit ribosomal RNA", at positions 355 to 776 of the family's 1533-position model. The record is from RNAcentral.